UACGUAGGGGGCGAGCGUUGUCCGGAUUUAUUGGGCGUAAAGAGCGUGUAGGCGGCCAGGUAGGUCUGCUGUGAAAACUCGAGGCUCAACCUCGAGACGUCGGCGGAAACCAUCUGGCUAGAGUCCGGAAGAGGAGAGUGGAAUUCCUGGUGUAGCGGUGAAAUGCGCAGAUAUCAGGAGGAACACCGGUGGCGAAGGCGGCUUUCUGGACAGAUACCGACGCUGAGGCACGAAAGCUAGGGGAGCAAACAGG
This 253-nucleotide ribosomal RNA is filed under the name uncultured bacterium. RNAcentral's name for it is "partial 16S ribosomal RNA". It matches the Rfam family "Bacterial small subunit ribosomal RNA", at positions 524 to 776 of the family's 1533-position model. The record is from RNAcentral.